Long non-coding RNA from Esox lucius (northern pike), 1140 nucleotides. The record is from Ensembl. NCBI's taxonomy places the organism in Eukaryota, Metazoa, Chordata, Actinopteri, Esociformes, Esocidae.
AGUUAAUGAUGAGGUUGAACAGAAAAGCAGCGUGCUCUGGAACUCAGAGUUAGAUAACCCUGCUCAAACAAUCCAUCACUAUAGAUAAAAAGAAAAAAGCCAAUUCUACUAUGGUGCAGAACAUAACACUUUGAAAAAUGUUGUACAGCGUAUGAAGUUGUUUUACAAAAACAACAGUUUUGUCUCACUACUUAUCGUUUCCAUGUUGCUGUUGUUCCUGGCAGUGAUGGUAUGGGGACUUGGCAUGAAGACAAUUUUCAUACUAAAUCCAAAGCAACUCUUAAAUACUAGAUAGGAACUUCACAAUAAGUGACUGAGCAUUAUCAGCAUGACUAAUUGUAUUAUUCUAACUGAAUAGAUUUAAAAUCUAAGAGCCUAAACAUAUGUAUUAGUGGCCGAUUCAUUUUGUCACUGAAGUUCUCUUAAAAUAUAAGUAGCCUUCUGGGAUUAUUUUUGGCUUAAUGGAAAAUAUUCAAGCUCCUGGAAGAAAACAGAAGGGAUAAAUCAGAACAAGAACCUGGAGGUAUAUUGGUUCUAAUUAUUCUCCCAUGCUGGCGUGCAGACAUUUAGGACAAAGCAAAGGAGGAAAGCGACCAACCAACCACUAAUUUUCAUUCCAUCUUUGUAUUGAGAAACCACCUGAAGGAAGCGAAACGCUGGACAACUGCACAAUGAGACACACUUCAAAAACAGUUGCAUAGAUGGAUCAAAAACAUUCUGGAGUGGCUGCAGCAUGUUCCUGAUAUACUGGUCAUCAACAUGGACUGAAGUGGUGGAUGAAAACCUGGUACCUGGAGACAAAUUCACCUUUUUACAGCACAAUAACCACAACACAAAAGGAAACAAAAUGUGAGAGAAGUGAAGGGGUGCAAACACUUUCUGAAGGCACGGUAUUUGGAUAGGAAGAGACCGAGUCAAAGAGGGAUGCAAUCCACAGGGACGCCAAAGUGACAUUAUCCACGUACAUGGUCAGUGAAACACGCACGGCCAAAAAUCCCAGCCAACUCAAACAAGUAUAAUAAAUUGUAAGAGAAUGAGCCAGAAAAAGCUGUAAGAUUGUUCAUGUGUGGUAUACAAAACACAGAUUAAUGGAAUUCUAUUGGGAACAUAUGGUCAGAAGGAAGAUGAGAGGUAGACAAG